Malania oleifera is the source of this 1846-nucleotide RNA transcript. It is a transcript of the gene named protein LAX PANICLE 2-like, with no coding region annotated. NCBI's taxonomy places the organism in Eukaryota, Viridiplantae, Streptophyta, Magnoliopsida, Santalales, Ximeniaceae. The record is from RefSeq and is a predicted model, not a curated record. The transcript is spliced from 5 exons.
AAAAUAGAAUUCUCUUUGUACAUAUAAAAUGAAUCUUUUUAAUACUAACACAAGAAAAUUCACCUUUUAAAUGCAAAAAUUAAUCAUGCUAACAAUGAUAUUCUAUAUAUCAUCAUUAUUACUGUUCAUUUUAGCAUUGUUAUAUAUAUAUAUAACAGAUCGAGAUUAGCGGCAGAAAGAAGAAGCAGAGCGAUCAGAGAACAUCAGCAGGGGUUUUGGGUUUUUGCGUUCUGGUAUGACCAUGGUUCCUUCUGUAGCUCGCCUCUCUGAAAUUUUAAGCGCUGGAGGUCUAAUGAGCCGAUUAGAGGGUUUUAAUCUUUAUGAUCAGUACAACAACAGUUCCAUGGCGGAAGAUGAUUCCAGAACUAACAGUACUACUCUCAACGACGAACCAGCUCCCACGAUCUCCAAGGAAAAUAACAUCGCUGCUCAAGACGACGAGAGAGAAAGCAAUAACAAUAAUAAUAAUGAAGCUGGGUGGCUUCAAUUGGGUAUUGGGGGAGGUCACGUGACCCCCGGCCACGACCCGACGACGUCCCGGCGAGGCGGACCAGUCGAGCUUGACCUCUUCUCCAGCUCGCCGCCGCAGACGGCUACGGCUUCUUUCUCGUACCAUUUCCCGGAGUUUCGGGUUCCGCCGGGUGCCGGAGGGUUCGGCGCUGCGAGGUCGUUUUUGUGGCAACCGGGGAGUGGUGGGUCAGGGGACGGCGCUUAUUUUCCUCAUCAAGAGAUUAACUGGGCGUUUUGGCCUGUACCGGUGAGAAGUUUAGCUUCGGGGUUUUCGUCGUGUUCGUCUCCUUCGACUUCGUCGUCGUCGCCGUCGUCUUCUGCGGCUUUGAUGAUGAUGAUGCCGCCGCCGUCCGCGGGAGGAGGGGCUUACUUCGGGAGACCGUUCCAAGUGGCGGGCGCCGCAGCAGUAGAUGUGGGUGCGGGGCCGAGCUCCGACCUGAGAGUGAUCGAUGCUCCCCGUCGACCCCAUUCGGGAAUUUGGUGUAUGCUUCAAGCCUCGCAAAAUCAAGAUGGAAGGAUGACAGUUCGAUUGUUAGUGAAGUAUCUGGUUAACAAGCUGGAACUGGGUAGCGAAUCAGAGUUUUGGAACCCAACAAAAUAAGAUAGGUCAAUCCACCCUCCAAAUGAGAUGAGCACUGCAAGGAUUAAUGGUAGGGACUCUUUAUUUAUUUCUAUUUGUUAUAAAUUUGUAUUGGAUUUAAACAUCAUGCUUUGGAACAUGCCAUUUUGCUUUGGAAUUUUGAUAAGGGUCUAAAGUUGGAGAUUGGAACUACAUGGUUUUGAUGACUUACAUUAUUACUGUUUUGAAUGUUCGCAAACUUGCAUCUGUGGAAUCCAACAUGAUGAGUAUAUGAGAUAGGUCAAUCCCCCGCAAGAAUAGAUGGGCAGUGCAAGGAGUAAAGGUAGUAGUCACACCAACUAUAUCUCUGGACUGCAUUCCUCAUUGGUGGGAUGGCUAUGGAUCAAGCUUAAAUUAGGACAGCAACAGUUCAUCUUACAGCACAGAGGAUUUGGUUUAUUAUUGAUUAAGCCAUUCCUCAAUGAAGAAUCGACAAUCCACCUGCAAAGUUUUUUUGUUACUCCACUGCCGUCACUAUCAUGCACCUCCAUUAUUUCAACCAUUUCAAUCCAUGUUGGGUUGAUUUUGAUUCUUUUCUACUGGCAUUUUUCUUUAUAUGUGUUCUACCCUUAAGUGGAGUAAAAGGUUGAAUACAAUUCUUAUCGAUCCAUUGCUUAGGAAGAUAAUUUGGUUUUUGAUCAAGUAAACGAUUGAUGAUCUGUAAGCAUGUGAUGCAUAUACUUUCAAGAGUCCAAAGAACAAAAAUGUUGUAUUUUU